RNAcentral lists this ribosomal RNA (76 nucleotides) under Macrococcus sp. DPC7161. Its description in RNAcentral is "partial 16S ribosomal RNA". It matches the Rfam family "Bacterial small subunit ribosomal RNA", at positions 1 to 71 of the family's 1533-position model. Lineage: Bacteria; Bacillati; Bacillota; Bacilli; Caryophanales; Staphylococcaceae. The record is from RNAcentral.
AAUCUUUCAUGGAGAGUUUGAUCCUGGCUCAGGAUGAACGCUGGCGGCGUGCCUAAUACAUGCAAGUCGAGCGAAC